Molecule: ribosomal RNA, 492 nt
Filed under: uncultured bacterium
Lineage: Bacteria
Description: partial 16S ribosomal RNA
Rfam family: Bacterial small subunit ribosomal RNA
Source: RNAcentral
AGCGAACGCUGGCGGCAGGCCUAACACAUGCAAGUCGAACGGUAGCACAGUAAGUGCCUGCUCUUACGGGUUGCGAGAGGCGGAAGGGAGAGGUAUAUAACGGACCCUACUUCUUCGUGGGGGUUUACGAAGGGAAACUUACUCCAAUAUAGCAUACGACCUACGGGUGAAUGUACGGGAACUUCGGACCUUCCGCGCUUGAAUAAGCCGAUGUCGGAUUAGAUAGUUGGGGGGGGAAAGGCCCACAAAGGCGACAAUCCUUAGCUGGGCUAAGAGGUUGAUCGGCAACACGGGAACGAGGACAGGGUCCGGACUCCUACGGGAGGAAGCGGUGGGAAGUAUUGGACAAUGGGGGCAGGCCUGAUCAAGCCAUACCGCGUGGGUGAGGAAGGCCUUGGGGUUGUAAAGCCCUUUUGUUGGGAAAGAAGAGCAGCAGGUUGAAACCCCGCUGUUCUGACGGUACCCAAAGAGUAAGCACCGGCUAACUUCGUG